GAGUUUGAUCAUGGCUCAGGAUGAACGCUAGCGGCAGGCUUAACACAUGCAAGUCGAGGGGUAACAGGUUUUAGUUUACUAGAAUGCUGACGACCGGCGCACGGGUGAGUAACGCGUAUACAAUUUACCUUUUACAGGGGGAUAGCCUUUAGAAAUGAAGAUUAAUACCCCAUGGUAUUAUAGAGUGGCAUCACUUUAUGAUUAAAGCUUCGGCGGUAAGAGAUGAGUAUGCGUCCUAUUAGCUAGAUGGUAAGGUAACGGCUUACCAUGGCGACGAUAGGUAGGGGUCCUGAGAGGGAGAUCCCCCACACUGGUACUGAGACACGGACCAGACUCCUACGGGAGGCAGCAGUGAGGAAUAUUGGUCAAUGGAGGCAACUCUGAACCAGCCAUGGCCGCGUGCAGGAAGACGGUCCUAUGGAUUGUAAACUGCUUUUAUAGAGGAAGAAACCCGGUUACGUGUAAUCGGCUGACGGUACUCUACGAAUAAGCACCGGCUAACUCCGUGCCAGCAGCCGCGGUAAUACGGAGGGUGCAAGCGUUAUCCGGAAUCAUUGGGUUUAAAGGGUCCGUAGGCGGGCGAUUAAGUCAGAGGUGAAAUCCCACAGCUCAACUGUGGAACUGCCUUUGAUACUGGUUGUCUUGAAUUACUGUGAAGUGGUUAGAAUAUGUAGUGUAGCGGUGAAAUGCUUAGAGAUUACAUAGAAUACCGAUUGCGAAGGCAGAUCACUAACAGUAUAUUGACGCUGAUGAACGAAAGCGUGGGUAGCGAACGGGAUUAGAUACCCCGGUAGUCCAUGCCGUAAACGAUGGAUACUAGCUGUUCGGACGCAAGUUUGAGUGGCUAAGCGAAAGUGAUAAGUAUCCCACCUGGGGAGUACGUUCGCAAGAAUGAAAC
Molecule: ribosomal RNA, 898 nt
Filed under: uncultured Bacteroidota bacterium
Lineage: Bacteria; Pseudomonadati; Bacteroidota
Description: bacterial SSU rRNA
Rfam family: Bacterial small subunit ribosomal RNA
Source: RNAcentral